AAAAAUCAGACAUUUGAGUCUGUGAACAUGCAACUGUCUCCUUUUCUUUUGCUUCCAGUAGAGCACACCCCCUAUCACCUAAAAAGGCAAGAGUGCAACUGCUAAACGCUACACUGUCUAAGAAUAAACCAGGCUUGCAGUGUCUAAGGUUACCUUGAAGCACCCCAGCAUUUCUCCCGUCUCACGCUCAUGUGAGGCACCAAUAACAUGGGCUAAAUUACCAGCACUUAUUUGCUGCAUCCCCUGCAAGAGCCUGAACUCCCCUGUUUACGGCCAUGCCCUAACAUCCCAUUCUCCCCCAGCCAUGAUCUCAAAUCCGGCACUUUGAAAACCCUCAUCCUGCUUUUCUCACAAGAUUGUGAGGAUUCACCUGUGGAUUAAAUGGGGACAACAAAAAAGAACAUCUUUUCCUGAGUGGGAUUUAACAUCAACUGGGUGAAACGGUCCAAAUAAGAUUGGGAUACACAAGCGAAAUCAAAGGACACUCGGCUGAAGUACCACCAUGGCUCAGGCAACUAAAGGUCCCGUGGUGAAGUCCAUCCCUCCCACUGGUGUAGCUGCCCCGGCUAGAACAGCACACACAGACUCACUUACUGCCGGGAGCCAUGGAAUUUUACGAAUCAUGAAUCGCCCGGCACAGUGGGUGGUCAUCAUCACACUUCUGAUUUCUUGGUCAAUAGCAGGUGUUGUCAUGUUUGAUUUUGUCAGUGACGAUCAGAUUGCAAGCAUCCAGGAUUUUGGCUCUGAUCCAGUGCUAGCAGUGAGCAAGGCCAUCGAAGGCAUUGAAAACUGGAUAAACCAUAUGAACGAUAUGCUUUAUGAUGCUCACGAGUACAUCACUGAAAUAAUAUUUAAUCCGAGGGAAGCUAUUAGUUUAGCAGCUGACUCAUCUGUGUCUUAUCUGUCAGGAAUAUUUAGUGCUGAUGGAGAUUCAGGAGUCACUGAAACAGUGAAAUAUGGUGGCACUGUAUUGGAUGAGGCUACAGAAUGGAUCAGAACCCCAGUGAGCUACUUAUUCCACUUGUUUGAAGACAUAUUGGAUAUAGUGAUUACUCCAGUGGAUAUGGUCACUGAAGUUGCUGUGCAAAUUUUAAGUGGGAUCAAGACCAUUAUACAAUAUAUUUCAACCAUGUUUGGGGGCAUUGAAGGGGAUACAGGCAUCACUGAAACAGUGAAACUUGGUGGUACUUUAUUGGAUGAGGUUACUGAAUGGAUCAGAUUCCCAGUGGGCUACUUAUUCCACUUAUUUGAAGGCAUCUUGGAUGUAGCAAUCAUUUAUCCAGGGGACAUUGCCACUGAAGCAGUUCUGCAAAUUUUAAGUGGGAUCAAGACCAUUUCUUCAACCAUAUUUGGAUACCUUGAAGUUUGGUUUCCCAAAAUGAGCACUGGUCCCGCAGAACUGGCUGAAAUUGUUGUAGAGAAGGCCACAGACAUAAAGACCACUGUCUCUAAUUACCUAACCAGUCUGUUUGCAGUGGAUGAAGGUGGUAUUCCUGACAUUAGCUUUGAUCCCAUGAAAGUUGUCACAGACACUGUUGAGGAGUUUGCUGACAGGAGGGAUAUGUUCUUGGCCUAUCUCUCCAACAUGGAAGACAAAGAUGACACACCGCAAGUGAUAAGACGGAAAGGAGAAUUUCUGCCCCCUAUGGAAAAAGUUCUUGAACAAGUGAAAGAAGCCAAAGAGAAAAAAGCUAGAGAGGAGAUAUACAAAAUCAUUCAAGAUAUGAGGGAAAAGAAGGCUGAAAGUAAAGAGGAAGAGAUAACACUGCAACGAAUAAACAUAACAGUAGAAAAAGUCAAGAAGAAAAAGGAGAUAGAAAAGGCUAAAAGAAAAGAAAAAUCCAAAGAGGACAAGACUCGAGAACCAACAGAAAAGGACACCAAGAAAAAAACUGAGAAAAAGGUCAAGGUGACUAAAGUGGGCGAGGAACCCCCUCUAAAAAAGAAGAAAUCUGAAGCUAAAAUGGCCAAAAAAGAGACCAAACUAGCAACAUCUAAGAAAGAGCCUCGAGUUACAAAAGAAAAGGCUAAACCAGCUCGUUCAAAGAAAGAAGCUGAAGUUGCUGUUAAAAAACUAAAACACGCUCCUGCAAAGAAAGAGCCUGAGGUUUCCAAAGAGAAGGCCAAGCUGAAGCCCUCAAAGAAAGAAGCUAAAGCUCCCAAGGACAAAAUUAAACCGGCCCUUUUGAAGAAAGAGCCUGAUGUUUCUAAGGAGAAAGAAAAACCACCAACUGCAAAGAAAGAAGAAAAGCCAACAACCGCUAAAAAAGAGCCUGCAGUUGCAGAAGAGAAAGUCAAACCAGUGCCCUCAAAGAAAGAUACUAAAGCUAUUAAGGAGAAAGUGAAACCAGCCCCAGUUAAGAAAGAGCCUGAGGUUUCCAAAGAAAAAGCCAAGCCAAAACGUUUAAAGAAAGAGGCUAAAUCUGUUGAAGAGAAGGCAAAACCAGCACCAGCUAAAAAAGAGAAGGAGAAACCUCCAAAGAAAGCUGUAAAAGAAAAGCCCAAACCUGCUUCUGUAAAGAAAGAACCUAAAUUUCCAAGAGAGAAAGCAAAACCUAAACCUUCCAAAAAAGAGGCAGAAGUUGCCAAAGACAAGCAUAAACCUGUCACUGUGAAGAAAGAACCUGCUGUUGCAGUUGAAAAGGCAAAACCGAAACCUGCACCAAAGAAAGUUACCAAAGAGAAAGCUAAACCAGAACCUGCAAAGAAAGAACCUGAGAUAACCAAAGAAAAACCGAGAGCACCAAAGAGAAAGGCUCAAGUUAUUAAGGAGGAAGCUAAACCAGCUCCUGCAAAAAAAGUCUUCAAAGAUGUUAAACCAGCCCUUAAGAGAAGAGAGGCUAAAGUAAUGAAGAAGAAAGUUAAACCGACUCCUGUAAAGAAAGAGCCUGAAGUUGCUAAAGAAAAGGCACCUGAAUCAGCACCAAGAAUAGUGGCUAAAGUCAUCAAGGAGAAACCUAAACCAGUUCCUGAGAAGAAAGAAGCUGUAAUCAUCAAAAAGAAAGUUAAACUGGCUCCAGUAAAGAAAGCACCUGAGAUAAUCAAAGAAAAGCCAAAGCCAGCACCAAAGAAAGAGGCUGAAGUCAUCAAAGAGAAAGCUAAACCAACUCCUGAAAAGAAAGUCAUCAAGGAGAAACCUAAACCAGUUCCUGAGAAGAAAGAAGCUGUAAUCAUCAAAAAGAAAGUUAAACUGGCUCCAGUAAAGAAAGCACCUGAGAUAGUCAAAGAAAAGCCAAAGCCAGCACCAAAGAAAGAGGCUGAAGUCAUCAAAGAGAAAGCUAAAGCAACUCCUGAAAAGAAAGAGACCGAAGUCAUCAAGGAGAAAGUUAAACCAGCCCCUGUAAAGAAAGAACCCAAAAUAACUAAGGAAAAGCCAAAGCCAGCACCAAAGAAAGAAGCUUUAGUCAUCAAAGAGAAAGCUAAACCAGCCCCUGUGAAGAAAGAGUCUGAAAUUAUCAAGGAAGAAAGAAAGAAAGCUAAACCAGCUCCUAAGAAGAAAGUGGCUGAAGUCACCAAGGAGAAAGCUAAGCAAGCUCCGAUGAAGAAAGAGCCUGAAGUCACUAAAGAAAAGUUAUUAGAACCAACUCCAAAAAAAGAGCUCCUGAACUCUAUCAGCCAAAAACUGUCUCUUCUGGAUUUACUGAGGAAGGACAUUGGUGAAAUGAAGAGUGAUCUGGAGUCCACUCAAAAUCAAAUUACGCUUUUACGAAUGGACAACAGAACAAUCAAAGAGCCAAAGACUGUUGGUGUAAAGGUAAAACCAGCAGUCUCCAAGGAAAAGGUCAAAACAGCAAAAAAAGACCAUGAUGCUCUGAUGAACGUUACAGCACAUAUUAAAGCAGAAGCUGAAAUCAUCAAAAAGAUAAAAGAUAAAGUUAAACUGGCUCCUUUAAAGAAAGAACGUGAUGCACUGAAAAACAUCACUAAACCAGCACCUGCAAAGAAAGAUAAAGAGGCUCCAAAAGCUAAGAUCAGACCACAGCCCAAAAAGAAAGAAAUCACCCAUGAGAAGGUCAAACAAGUAAAGGAACCUUUACAGAAAGAACCUAAGCAGGUCAAAGAAAAAGUCGAGCCAACUAAGAAGGAGGCUGUUGUGGGCAAGGAAGUAAAAGGAGAAGAACCUGAUGUCUCCAAAGAUAUUCCAGAGAUGGAGGAUGAGGAUGUUCCCUACUUCCAGUGUUUCUUUGUGGAUGAGGAUGAUACUCAGUAUCCAUUCUUCCCCUUUUCACCACCGCUGUGGUGAAACUAGCCAAACCUCGUAUUCUGAUGUUAAACAACAUGGCAAAGCCAGUGAAGACGGACCUCUGAACGCUCUGAUGCAGUGGAGAGCUUCACAGUAGGUCCUACAGCAUUACACCAGCAAUGACCAAGAAAUGUGAAAGAGAUUUAAGUUACUUCCUGGAUCUUAAAACUCGAAAACUUCCUUCUCAGAUUCUUUGUCAUUUUGAAGAACAGAGUUUGCAAAUAUUGCGCUAUUUAUUAUAUCAUCUUAAGGCUAUCCAUCUUUUUAUUAAUACCAUGGAUUUGCCUUUUGUUUCUGAAUGAUUACUAUCUAUUUAUGAUUAAUAUAUAUGUCCAAGAAGGACAGGAAGAAAUGAAAGAACUAACUUCCUUUCUGAACAUGCAGUGGGGUUCAGGAUUGUAAGAUUAUAUAGUCUUUUAUAUAAACAUGAGGCGUGACCUCGUUUUGAUGGGGUGCUAAUUCUAAGCAUUCCACUGUGUUUUCUGUCAGAAUGGGGUUUGGAAGUUGUUCACGGUUCGUACAACUGGAAGGAAGGAUAUAAUAAAACAAGAAAUAUGUAAACUAUUUCAUAUAUCCUUUCUUAGUGAUACCGUUUACUAAACUGUUUACAGAAGUAACAGCUGCACUGAGAAAUACGGGCUUUGGACCGUAAGCUCAGUUCCUCAGAAUGUAUACAUCAUUUUAUUUAUAUAUUAUUUUUAUUUUGUUUUAUUCCUCUCUCUUUUUUAGCUUUCCAUACAUUUUACUUAAUAUAACUUGCCAAAUGUUUUAUAAAUCUAUACUUCAGAGGAAACAAAUAUGUUUUGUUCAGUGCUCUUUAUAAAUGAUUUUGCAUAACAAAAUUAAGAUAAGCUGUUGUGCUAAAUCCAAGAAAAAGCAUCAAACAUCAAGGCAACUACGUUGUUCUAGUAUAUCACAUUGCAAACACUACUGUUUUUACUUUUAUCUGCAUAACAUUAAUAGUUUAUUUAAGAUAAUGUCUGUAAAAAUGUGGGUGUGUUUUUGCAAUAUUACAUGGAUAGACCUACCUAAUAGAGAAGAGACAAUUAAAUAGCAUUCUGAAUUGUGUAACAAAAAUUGUCUGUUCCACAUUAUACUCAUACAGAAGAUUUUUUUUUAUUAUUAUGGGAUAAUGUGUCAAAUUAAAUUUAUUGCAUGCAACCACCGUGUGUUUCAACACUGCCCCUGGUGGCUCCCUGGCUCAUUACUCCAUUGCUUGAUUUAAUGAUAUUGAGUGUUUAAUGGUAUGUACUAGUGAGACACACCAUUAAACUAGUGUGCCGGUGGGCUGCCCUGGAGACAUUUCUUUUACUGCCACUGUCUUUUCUGUAUGAGUUCAGCAUGUGGCUCCAUUGAACAUAAACUCAUGUCUGUACAAAGAGCUUUUUUACCUCUGAUGUUAAGUAACUUAGGGUGAUCGUACGUUCUGUUUUUCCCAGACAUGUCCUGGCCAGGAUUUCUAAAUUGCCUAAAAUGUCAUUUUUUUGACUUUCUGAAGGUAAUGACUGUAAAGUAGUUUCACCAGCAUGCAGGCAUUGUGCUUAAUCGACCAGUUGUGGCCUGCGAGAAGGUGGGAUCUACAGAGAAGAGUCAAAGCAGUGCAAAUACAUGUACACAUAAUGUCUGAGGACUCUAGAGAGGAAACGCCAAAACCUGGACAUUUUAGGCAAUGUAGAAAUCCCGAUCAGGAUAUGUCUGGCAAUAAGAGGAUGUAUAGUCAACUGUACAAAUACAUAUUGUAGCAAUGCUCACUUGUAACAGAUAUACAGGUCUUUUUUGGACUUUUUUGGACUUUUCAAGUAAAUUAUGAGCUUGUUGGUGUGUUCUCAAGCAAACUGUGAAGCAAUGAAUAACAGCAUUUUUCAAUAGUUCAUAUAGUUCUUUAAGAUAUGUGUACUGUUAUUUUAAACCUAAUUUACAGUUCAUAUUUGAAAAAUGUUCCUCAAAGAUAAUAGUUUGCAUGAUGUUUGCAUGAAUUUUGUUUAAAAAUGUAUCUAAACCAGACCAUAUUUAAUUUGUGUGUGUUUUUAAUUGGAAUUACAUAAUUUCAUUGAAAAUGUAUAAUGUAAUAUUAUAUUCAUUUGGGUUUGUUUGUUUUUUUGCAUGGUUUUGAAGUUAGAUGUUGAAAACAUUCUCUGUACAAUGUAUAGCCAUAAACUGAAAUCAUAUUUAUAAAGCUCUAAACAGAAUCAACAAUAUGGUCUCCAGUCAAAAAAAAAAAGGCCUGUAUGCAACUGUAAAUGCUAUUGUAACUGUAAUACAGACUUGAUACAGUCUGAUUUAAGUUUUAGAAUAAAUAAAUGUUUGCAAUAAUCACAAUUGUUUGAGGGCUCUUGCAUUACUUGUUGGGGGUUUUUCAGUAAUUUAUUUAUUUUUUUUCUUUGGUCAGGUCUUUUUGAAGAAAUAUUUCAUUAU
Molecule: long non-coding RNA, 6658 nt
Organism: Cyprinus carpio carpio
Lineage: Eukaryota; Metazoa; Chordata; Actinopteri; Cypriniformes; Cyprinidae
Source: Ensembl